CAGCACCUCAAGUGGUCAGGAUGAUUAUUGGGCCUAAAGCAUCCGUAGCCGGCGCUGUAAGUUUUCGGUUAAAUCUGUACGCUCAACGUACAGGCUGCCGGGAAUACUGCAGCGCUAGGGAGUGGGAGAGGUAGACGGUACUCGGUAGGAAGGGGUAAAAUCCUUUGAUCUAUUGAUGACCACCUGUGGCGAAGGCGGUCUACCAGAACACGUCCGACGGUGAGGGAUGAAAGCUGGGGGAGCAAAGCGGAUUAGAUACCCGAGUAGUCC
RNAcentral lists this ribosomal RNA (270 nucleotides) under uncultured archaeon. Its description in RNAcentral is "partial 16S ribosomal RNA". It matches the Rfam family "Archaeal small subunit ribosomal RNA", at positions 477 to 747 of the family's 1478-position model. The record is from RNAcentral.